CCGAGUCCGCCGGUAGAAACAGUGUUCCUCAAACCUGUCCCGUGGAACAGACGGCCCGUUUUCCGUUUCCUGAGUACUUGGAUCUGCAAACACAGCCAUGAAAGCAGCGUUCUUCGUCAUCCUGUCGCUGGCGCUCGCAGCAGCAGCCUUCGCUACCCUCGGCGUAGGGCUGAACCUCGGCUAUGGUGUCGCUUCCCCGUAUGGUGCAUAUGGUGCAUACAGACCAUACGGCUACAGGCCCUACGGCUACGGUGGUCAUGGUUACGGCUACAGACCCUACGGCUACGGUGGCGUCGGUUACGGUUACAGGCCAUACGGCCUCGGCUACGGCUACCCCGGCUACGUUGGCUAGUGCACUGGCACCGCAACGCGCAGGUUUUUCCCGACGAAUGCAACUUCUACAUGGCAAGUUUUAUCGGCCUUCGCACUGCAGUAAAUAAAUUUGAUUGAAACUUAGAA
This is a non-coding RNA of Dermacentor andersoni, 459 nucleotides long. The record is from RefSeq and is a predicted model, not a curated record. Lineage: Eukaryota; Metazoa; Arthropoda; Arachnida; Ixodida; Ixodidae.